GACGAACGCUGGCGGCGUGCUUAACACAUGCAAGUCGAACGGAAAGGCCCUGCUUUUGUGGGGUGCUCGAGUGGCGAACGGGUGAGUAACACGUGAGUAACCUGCCCUUGACUUUGGGAUAACUUCAGGAAACUGGGGCUAAUACCGGAUAGGAGCUCCUGCUGCAUGGUGGGGGUUGGAAAGUUUCGGCGGUUGGGGAUGGACUCGCGGCUUAUCAGCUUGUUGGUGGGGUAGUGGCUUACCAAGGCUUUGACGGGUAGCCGGCCUGAGAGGGUGACCGGCCACAUUGGGACUGAGACACGGCCCAGACUCCUACGGGAGGCAGCAGUGGGGAAUAUUGCACAAUGGGCGGAAGCCUGAUGCAGCAACGCCGCGUGCGGGAUGACGGCCUUCGGGUUGUAAACCGCUUUCGCCUGUGACGAAGCGUGAGUGACGGUGAUGGGUAAAGAAGCACCGGCUAACUACGUGCCAGCAGCCGCGGUGAUACGUAGGGUGCGAGCGUUGUCCGGAUUUAUUGGGCGUAAAGGGCUCGUAGGUGGUUGAUCGCGUCGGAAGUGUAAUCUUGGGGCUUAACCCUGAGCGUGCUUUCGAUACGGGUUGACUUGAGGAAGGUAGGGGAGAAUGGAAUUCCUGGUGGAGCGGUGGAAUGCGCAGAUAUCAGGAGGAACACCAGUGGCGAAGGCGGUUCUCUGGGCCUUUCCUGACGCUGAGGAGCGAAAGCGUGGGGAGCGAACAGGCUUAGAUACCCUGGUAGUCCACGCUGUAAACGGUGGGUACUAGGUGUGGGGUCCAUUCCACGGGUUCCGUGCCGUAGCUAACGCUUUAAGUACCCCGCCUGGGGAGUACGGCCGCAAGGCUAAAACUCAAAGGAAUUGACGGGGCCCCGCACAAGCGGCGGAGCAUGCGGAUUAAUUCGAUGCAACGCGUAGAACCUUACCUGGGUUUGACAUGGAUCGGGAGUGCUCAGAGAUGGGUGUGCCUCUUUUGGGGUCGGUUCACAGGUGGUGCAUGGCUGUCGUCAGCUCGUGUCGUGAGAUGUUGGGUUAAGUCCCGCAACGAGCGCAACCCUUGUUCACUGUUGCCAGCACGUUAUGGUGGGGACUCAGUGGAGACCGCCGGGGUCAACUCGGAGGAAGGUGGGGAUGACGUCAAGUCAUCAUGCCCCUUAUGUCCAGGGCUUCACGCAUGCUGCAAUGGCUGGUACAGAGAGUGGCGAGCCUGUGAGGGUGAGCGAAUCUCGGAAAGCCGGUCUCAGUUCGGAUUGGGGUCUGCAACUCGACCUCAUGAAGUCGGAGUCGCUAGUAAUCGCAGAUCAGCAACGCUGCGGUGAAUACGUUCCCGGG
Molecule: ribosomal RNA, 1343 nt
Filed under: uncultured bacterium
Lineage: Bacteria
Description: 16S ribosomal RNA
Rfam family: Bacterial small subunit ribosomal RNA
Source: RNAcentral